UACGUAGGUGGCGAGCGUUGUCCGGAUUUACUGGGCGUAAAGGGCGUGCAGGCGGUUUGUUAAGUGCAGGGUGAAAGCUCCCGGCUCAACUGGGAGAGGUCCUUGCAUACUGGCGAACUCGAGGGAGGCAGAGGAAAGUGGAAUUCCCGGUGUAGUGGUGAUAUGCGUAGAUAUCGGGAGGAACACCUGUGGCGAAGGCGGCUUUCUGGGCCUUACCUGACGCUGAGACGCGAAAGCGUGGGGAGCAAACAGG
Molecule: ribosomal RNA, 253 nt
Filed under: uncultured bacterium
Lineage: Bacteria
Description: partial 16S ribosomal RNA
Rfam family: Bacterial small subunit ribosomal RNA
Source: RNAcentral